UCCUCUUUCUCUCACACUAUAGUCACUAUUAGUCAGAUCUCUCUCCUCUCACAGUCACCACGCACGCACUCUGCACUCACGCUCUCAUUCUCUGAUUUCCCAAGCUGGCCAAGCACCACCACCGGCCACCACCACGCCGGCCGCCGCCGCCGCACCACCACGUGCCACUCUCCAGCCGUGCGCCCCUGCCUUUGGCCGUGCCUCUGCAGUUCUAAUUUCUACAGCUCAUACAAAUAAUCAUAUACAACUCCUGCCCGGGUCCUCGCACUGAGAUAGCCAUAGCCCAUAAGUCCAUAUGCUCUAUGAUCUUUUGCCUAACUUUGUGAACUGCAUCAGGUGAUCAGGGGAUGUGCACUUCUUCUCAUUACCUUAAAUGUUAAACGGAUAUAGUGUUGAUACAUUUUAAAUUUAUACUUUCAUUUCAAAUUUGUUUCAUUUACUGGAAUAAUUUUAGUGUUGCCUAUAUUGAAAAGAAUUGAGUUAGAACUGAAAAUACAUUGACUAUUUGAUUGUGUUGAGCUGCAAGCAUCAUGGUUUUGUUGAUUUAUAAAUAAUGGCAUGGUGAGCACCAACAUGUGAUGGAUCACUUGCUAUAUCUUACAGGGUGUUUUGUCUUUUGUAACCUAUGGUGUUACUGUAUCAUCUUUUGCUUUCUUGGGGCUGGGUAGUAAGGUAGUUAUUAAUGUUGUUUGGAUAACUUAACUAUGAAGUAUGUUGCUGUCCUUAGUUCUUAGUGAUUACUUGGGUCUGAUUUGUGUGUAAGGUAAUUGAUUUCUCAAACGUUGUAUUGCUGUUAGCACUCCUUGUGCUUGAUUUUAAUGAAUGCUUUGCUUAUCAAAAAUAAAUAAAUAAUGGCAUGGUAACUUGCCAUUCCAAUUGGCAGCUCAAUUGUUUGUAUAUGCAAGCUGCUGCAAAUUACCUUGUUCUGAUAUGAAUCAAAGUGUUUAAUUAAAUGCUUAAUUAUAUUAUUAA
Long non-coding RNA from Lotus japonicus, 972 nucleotides. RefSeq lists it as uncharacterized. The record is from RefSeq and is a predicted model, not a curated record. Lineage: Eukaryota; Viridiplantae; Streptophyta; Magnoliopsida; Fabales; Fabaceae. The transcript has 2 exons.